RNAcentral lists this ribosomal RNA (919 nucleotides) under uncultured bacterium. Its description in RNAcentral is "bacterial SSU rRNA". It matches the Rfam family "Bacterial small subunit ribosomal RNA", at positions 33 to 944 of the family's 1533-position model. The record is from RNAcentral.
ACGCUAGCUACAGGCUUAACACAUGCAAGUCGAGGGGAAACGGCAUUAAGUGCUUGCACUUUUUGGACGUCGACCGGCGCACGGGUGAGUAACGCGUAUCCAACCUUCCCAUGACUAAGGGAUAACCUGCCGAAAGGCAGACUAAUACCUUAUGGUCUUCACUGACGGCAUCAGAUGUGAAGUAAAGAUUUAUCGGUUAUGGAUGGGGAUGCGUCUGAUUAGUUAGUUGGCGGGGUAACGGCCCACCAAGGCAACGAUCAGUAGGGGUUCUGAGAGGAAGGUCCCCCACAUUGGAACUGAGACACGGUCCAAACUCCUACGGGAGGCAGCAGUGAGGAAUAUUGGUCAAUGGGCGAGAGCCUGAACCAGCCAAGUAGCGUGCAGGACGACGGCCCUAUGGGUUGUAAACUGCUUUUGUAUGGGGAUAAAGUCAAUCACGUGUGAUUGUUUGCAGGUACCAUACGAAUAAGGACCGGCUAAUUCCGUGCCAGCAGCCGCGGUAAUACGGAAGGUCCGGGCGUUAUCCGGAUUUAUUGGGUUUAAAGGGAGCGUAGGCUGGAGAUUAAGUGUGUUGUGAAAUGUAGACGCUCAACGUCUGACUUGCAGCGCAUACUGGUUUCCUUGAGUACGCACAACGUUGGCGGAAUUCGUCGUGUAGCGGUGAAAUGCUUAGAUAUGACGAAGAACUCCGAUUGCGAAGCAGCUGACGGGAGCGCAACUGACGCUGAAGCUCGAAGGUGCGGGUAUCGAACAGGAUUAGAUACCCUGGUAGUCCGCACAGUAAACGAUGGAUGCCCGCUGUUGGUACCUGGUAUCAGCGGCUAAGCGAAAGCAUUAAGCAUCCCACCUGGGGAGUACGCCGGCAACGGUGAAACUCAAAGGAAUUGACGGGGGCCCGCACAAGCGGAGGAACAUGUGG